GUACUGACACUGAGGUGCGAAAGCGUGGGUAGCGAACAGGAUUAGAUACCCUGGUAGUCCACGCCGUAAACGAUGACAACUAGCUGUUAGGAGACUAUGUCUUUUAGUGGCGCAGCUAACGUUUUAAGUUGUCCGCCUGGGGAGUACGGCCGCAAGGCUAAAACUCAAAUGAAUUGACGGGGACCCGCACAAGCAGUGGAUCAUGUGGUUUAAUUCGACGCAACGCGCAGAACCUUACCAACCCUUGACAUACCUGUCGCGGUUACCAGGGAUGGUUUCCUUCAGUUCGGCUGGACAGGAUACAGGUGCUGCAUGGCUGUCGUCAGCUCGUGUCGUGAGAUGUUCGGUUAAGUCCGGCAACGAGCGCAACCCACGUCCUUAGUUACCAGCAUUUAGUUGGGUACCCUAGGGAGACUGCCGGUGAUAAGCCGGAGGAAGGUGUGGAUGACGUCAAGUCCUCAUGGCCCUUACGGGUUGGGCUACACACGUGCUACAAUGGCAGUGACAAUGGGUUAAUCCCAAAAAACUGUCUCAGUUCGGAUUGGGGUCUGCAACUCGACCCCAUGAAGUCGGAAUCGCUAGUAAUCGCGUAACAGCAUGACGCGGUGAAUACGUUCCCGGGCCUUGUACACACCGCCCGUCACACCAUGGGAGUUGGUUCUACCCGACGACGCUGCGCUAACCCUUCGGGGAGGCAGGCGGCCACGGUAGGAUCAGCGACUGGGGUGAAGUCGUAACAAGGUAACCGUA
Molecule: ribosomal RNA, 750 nt
Filed under: uncultured bacterium
Lineage: Bacteria
Description: bacterial SSU rRNA
Rfam family: Bacterial small subunit ribosomal RNA
Source: RNAcentral